GGGUUUUUUUGGGGUUUCUUUGGGAUUUCUUUGGAAUUUUUUUGGGAUUUUUUUGGGAUUUUUUUUGAAUUAUUUUUAAAUUUUUUGGGGAUUUUUUGGGGGAUUUUUUGGGAUUUUUUGGGGAUUUUUUUGGGAUUUUUUUUAGAUUUCUUUGGGAUUUUUUGGGAUUUUUUUCAGGAUUUUUUGGAAUUUUUUUGGGGAUUUUUUGGGAUUUUUUGGGGUUUUUUGGGGAUUUUAUUUUGGAUUUUUUUGGGAUUUUUUGGGGGAUUUUUUGAGGAUUUUUUGGGAUUUCUUUGGGAUCUUUUUGGGAUUUUUUUUUUAUUUUUUUUGAAUUUUUGGGGGAUUUUUCGGGGAUUUUUUUGGGGAUUUUUUGAGGAUUUUUUGGGGAUUUUUUUGGGGAUUUUUUGGUGGAUUUUGGGGUGAGGAAAUGAGGAUUUUGGAGUGUGGGGGAGGGGCCAGGUGUGUCCAGGUGUGUCCCCAGGUGUGUCCAGGUGUCCCCAGGUGCGUUCCAGACCAGGUUCCAGAACGUUCUAGAGGUUCUAGACUCGGUUCUAGAUCGGGUUCUAGAUCGGGUUCUAGAACGUUCUAGGUACGUUCCAGAUCAGGUUCUAGAACGUUCUAGAUCGGGUUCUAGGUGUGCUCUAGGUACGUUCUAGAGGUUCUAGAUCACGUUCUAGAACGUUCUAGACUCGGUUCUAGACUCGGUUCUCGAUCGGGUUCCGGACUGUUCCAGAACCGGUUCCAGACUGGGUUCCAGAGCAGGUUCCAGACUGGGUCCCCAGGUGUGUCCAGGUGUGUCCCAGGUGUCCCCAGGUGUGUCCAGGUGUCCCCAGGUGUGUUCAGGUGUUCUCCAGGUGUGUUCAGGUGUGUCCAGGUGUUCUCCAGGUGUAUCUCAGGUGUAUUUUAGGUGUCCCCAGCUGUUCUAGGUGUAUCUCAGGUGUCCCCAGGUGUAUCUCAGGUGUCCCCAGGUGUGUCCAGGUGUCCCCAGGUGUCCCCAGGUGUCCCCAGGUGUAUCUCAGGUGUGUCCAGGUGUGUCCAGGUGUAUCUCAGGUGUCCCCAGGUGUAUCUCAGGUGUAUCCAGGUGUCCCCAGGUGUAUCUCAGGUGUGUCCCCAGCUGUCCCCAGGUGUCCCCAGGUGUCCCCAGGUGUCCCAGGUGUCCCCUGUCCCCGCAGGAAGAUCCAGGAGGAAUCUCUCCGCACGUACCUGUUCACCUACAGCAGCGUCUACGACUCCAUCAGGUGGAUUUGGGCUGAAAAACGGGGA
Molecule: long non-coding RNA, 1263 nt
Filed under: Parus major (Great Tit)
Lineage: Eukaryota; Metazoa; Chordata; Aves; Passeriformes; Paridae
Description: lncRNA (ENSPMJG00000003958.1)
Source: RNAcentral